CUGGUAGUCCACGCCCUAAACGAUGCUGACUAGUUGUUCGGGAAUUUAUUCCUGAGUAACGUAGCUAACGCGUGAAGUCAGCCGCCUGGGGAGUACGGUCGCAAGAUUAAAACUCAAAGGAAUUGACGGGGACCCGCACAAGCGGUGGAUGAUGUGGAUUAAUUCGAUGCAACGCGAAAAACCUUACCUACCCUUGACAUGCCACUAACGAAGUAGAGAUACAUUAGGUGCCCGUAAGGGAAAGUGGACACAGGUGCUGCAUGGCUGUCGUCAGCUCGUGUCGUGAGAUGUUGGGUUAAGUCCCGCAACGAGCGCAACCCUUGUCUUUAGUUGCUACGCAAGAGCACUCUAAAGAGACUGCCGGUGACAAACCGGAGGAAGGUGGGGAUGACGUCAAGUCCUCAUGGCCCUUAUGGGUAGGGCUUCACACGUCAUACAAUGGUGCAUACAGAGGGUUGCCAACCCGCGAGGGGGAGCUAAUCUCAGAAAAUGCAUCGUAGUCCGGAUCGUAGUCUGCAACUCGACUACGUGAAGCUGGAAUCGCUAGUAAUCGCGGAUCAGAAUGUCGCGGUGAAUACGUUCCCGGGUCUUGUACACACCGCCCGUCACACCAUGGGAGUGGGUUUUGCCAGAAGCCGUUAGCCUAACC
This 649-nucleotide ribosomal RNA is filed under the name uncultured beta proteobacterium. Its description in RNAcentral is "bacterial SSU rRNA". It matches the Rfam family "Bacterial small subunit ribosomal RNA", at positions 787 to 1440 of the family's 1533-position model. The record is from RNAcentral. Lineage: Bacteria; Pseudomonadati; Pseudomonadota; Betaproteobacteria.